This 390-nucleotide ribosomal RNA is filed under the name Streptococcus anginosus. Its description in RNAcentral is "bacterial SSU rRNA". It matches the Rfam family "Bacterial small subunit ribosomal RNA", at positions 101 to 478 of the family's 1533-position model. Lineage: Bacteria; Bacillati; Bacillota; Bacilli; Lactobacillales; Streptococcaceae. The record is from RNAcentral.
AACGGGUGAGUAACGCGUAGGUAACCUGCCUAUUAGAGGGGGAUAACUAUUGGAAACGAUAGCUAAUACCGCAUAACAGUAUGUAACACAUGUUAGAUGCUUGAAAGAUGCAAUUGCAUCGCUAGUAGAUGGACCUGCGUUGUAUUAGCUAGUAGGUAGGGUAAAGGCCUACCUAGGCAACGAUACAUAGCCGACCUGAGAGGGUGAUCGGCCACACUGGGACUGAGACACGGCCCAGACUCCUACGGGAGGCAGCAGUAGGGAAUCUUCGGCAAUGGGGGGAACCCUGACCGAGCAACGCCGCGUGAGUGAAGAAGGUUUUCGGAUCGUAAAGCUCUGUUGUUAAGGAAGAACGAGUGUGAGAAUGGAAAGUUCAUACUGUGACGGUAC